AGAGUUUGAUCCUGGCUCAGGACGAACGCUGGCGGCAUGCCUCACACAUGCAAGUCGAGCGGUAACCAGUAGCAAUACUGGUUAUAGCGGCGGACGGGUGAGUAAUACAUGAAUAACCUACCCUAUACUACGGGAUAACAUUCAGAAAUGAGUGCUAAUACCGUAUGAGACCACAUCAAGGCAUCUUGAAGGGGUUAAAGGGAAUUACUGGUAUAGGAUGGGUUCAUGUCCCAUUAGCUAGUUGAUAGGGUAAAAGCCUACCAAGGCGACGAUGGGUAGCCGACCUGAGAGGGUGAACGGCCACACUGGGACUGAGACACGGCCCAGACUCCUACGGGAGGCAGCAGUCGGGAAUUUUGCACAAUGGCCGAAAGGCUGAUGCAGCAACGCCGCGUGAGCGAAGAAGGCCUUCGGGUUGUAAAGCUCUGUUGCCUGCGAAGAAGGGCCCUGUCAGGAAAUGGGCAGGGUUUGAC
RNAcentral lists this ribosomal RNA (473 nucleotides) under uncultured bacterium. RNAcentral's name for it is "bacterial SSU rRNA". It matches the Rfam family "Bacterial small subunit ribosomal RNA", at positions 8 to 473 of the family's 1533-position model. The record is from RNAcentral.